Molecule: ribosomal RNA, 199 nt
Filed under: Escherichia coli
Lineage: Bacteria; Pseudomonadati; Pseudomonadota; Gammaproteobacteria; Enterobacterales; Enterobacteriaceae
Also listed under: 1 other name
Description: partial 16S ribosomal RNA
Rfam family: Bacterial small subunit ribosomal RNA
Source: RNAcentral
AAAUUGAAGAGUUUGAUCAUGGCUCAGAUUGAACGCUGGCGGCAGGCCUAACACAUGCAAGUCGAACGGUAACAGGAAGCAGCUUGCUGUUUCGCUGACGAGUGGCGGACGGGUGAGUAAUGUCUGGGAAACUGCCUGAUGGAGGGGGAUAACUACUGGAAACGGUAGCUAAUACCGCAUAACGUCGCAAGACCAAAGA